RNAcentral lists this ribosomal RNA (443 nucleotides) under uncultured bacterium. Its description in RNAcentral is "partial 16S ribosomal RNA". It matches the Rfam family "Bacterial small subunit ribosomal RNA", at positions 338 to 795 of the family's 1533-position model. The record is from RNAcentral.
CCUACGGGUGGCAGCAGUGGGGAAUAUUGGGCAAUGGGCGCAAGCCUGACCCAGCAACGCCGCGUGAAUGAAGAAGGCUUUCGGGUUGUAAACUUCUUUUGUCAGGGACGAAGAAAGUGACGGUACCUGACGAAUAAGCCACGGCUAACUACGUGCCAGCAGCCGCGGUAAUACGUAGGUGGCAAGCGUUAUCCGGAUUUACUGGGUGUAAAGGGCGUGUAGGCGGGGAAGCAAGUCAGAUGUGAAAUCUGGAGGCUCAACCUCCAAAUUGCUUUUGAAACUGUUUUUCUUGAGUGCUGGAGAGGUAGACGGAAUUCCUUGUGUAGCGGUGAAAUGCGUAGAUAUAAGGAGGAACACCAGUGGCGAAGGCGGUCUGCUGGACAGCAACUGACGGUGAGGCGCGAAAGCGUGGGGAGCAAACAGGAUUAGAUACCCUUGUAGUC